RNAcentral lists this ribosomal RNA (258 nucleotides) under uncultured bacterium. RNAcentral's name for it is "partial 16S ribosomal RNA". It matches the Rfam family "Bacterial small subunit ribosomal RNA", at positions 96 to 354 of the family's 1533-position model. The record is from RNAcentral.
UGGCGGACGGGUGAGUAACGCGUGGAUAACCUGCCGUAUACUGGGGGAUAACACUUAGAAAUAGGUGCUAAUACCGCAUAAGCGCACAGUCUCGCAUGAGACGGUGUGAAAAACUCCGGUGGUAUACGAUGGAUCCGCGUCUAAUUAGCUUGUUGGCGGGGUAACAGCCCACCAAGGCGACGAUCAGUAGCCGGCCUGAGAGGGUGAACGGCCACAUUGGGACUGAGACACGGCCCAAACUCCUACGGGAGGCAGCAG